This is an RNA transcript of Drosophila montana, 1064 nucleotides long. RefSeq lists it as uncharacterized. The record is from RefSeq and is a predicted model, not a curated record. Lineage: Eukaryota; Metazoa; Arthropoda; Insecta; Diptera; Drosophilidae. The transcript has 5 exons.
AACAUUUUAAAAAAUAUGUAAGAAAUGUGUUCAGUGGACAGAGGCUAAUAUUUGAAAAAUGUGUAAAAUGUAUUUUCUUAUGGGAAAACGUACCGGCCGCAUUUUACACAUUGCUCAAAAAUGUGUAAGAAAUGUGGACAGUGGAAUAAGGAUAUUGUAUAAUACAGAAGCACAAACACACGAUUUAUUUAGUAUUUUAAGUAUGAAAUCUAUAUAUGCUGCUGUAAAACGUAGCAUAGAUACAUCCGCUUCCUAUGCAAUUAUAACGGAUGAUCGAUUGCCAACAGAUAUUAUUCCACAAAGUUACGAAAUUCAUCUAGAACCGAACUACGAAAAAAGUGCAUUCAGUGGGCACGUGAAAAUUAAUUUGAUCUGGAAAUCUGACACAAAUAAAAUUGCGCUUCAUGCUCAUUUUGAUUUAAAUAUUGAUGACAAGAAAAUUAUUCUACGAAAGCUUAAUAAAAAUAACAGUGAUUUAAAGUUAUCUGAAAACAUUACAGUUCUGCGCGGUAGUCGAUUUCCUAAGAAAACAAUUUAUAUUGUUUAUCUUACAGAAAAAAUUAAGCAUGGCUCUGAAUGUGUUUUAGAAAUUCCGUUUGCAGGAUACAUUUGGGAGAGUGCAGAAGGACUUUUUAAAGGAUCUUAUUCAAAUUUGACCUUUUUAGCCACUUACUUGAGACCAAAUAAUGCUCGACGGUUGUUUCCAUGCUUUGAUGAACCUAGAUUCAAAGUACCAUUUACAGUCUCCAUUACAAGAUCCAGACAUUUAAUUACCAUUUUUAAUACGCCGGUUGUUCGUACUAGUGAACAAUGAUUCACCACCGUCUACGAGCUUGACGUUGAAUUACUAGCUAACCUGGAGGCCCGAAGACGCUCCUCACUUAGCUGCGGGAGGAGUUAACCCGAUCAAAUUGAGUAGUGCGAUCAAUGACUCCGUCACGCCUGCCUUGCUUCACCGGUAGCAGAAAAUGUGUUGACGAACAAAGUUGCAACAUACAUGCAGACGGUCGGAUAUCAGGCUCCGCGGAUGAGCCGAAAGAUCAGUAGUCUUGGGGCUAGCAGUU